This 117-nucleotide ribosomal RNA is filed under the name Danio rerio (zebrafish). The record is from RNAcentral. Lineage: Eukaryota; Metazoa; Chordata; Actinopteri; Cypriniformes; Danionidae.
CACCACAGCCAUAUCACCCUGCAGCCCAAGACCGGUUACUCACUGAAGCUAAGCAGGGCUGAGCCUGGUCAGUACCUGGAUGGGAGACCACUAGGGAACAGUAGGUUGCUGUUAGAA